This 478-nucleotide ribosomal RNA is filed under the name uncultured bacterium. Its description in RNAcentral is "partial 16S ribosomal RNA". It matches the Rfam family "Bacterial small subunit ribosomal RNA", at positions 28 to 507 of the family's 1533-position model. The record is from RNAcentral.
GAUGAACGCUGGCGGCGUGCCUAACACAUGCAAGUCGAACGGAGUCCAGCCUUUAAGACCUUCGGGUCAAAGAGGGGAAGACUGAGUGGCGGACGGGUGAGUAACACGUGGGCAACCUGGCUCAUAGAGGAGGAUAACAGAGAGAAAUAUCUGCUAAUACCGCAUAAGCACACACUGCCGCAUUGCAGAGGGUGAAGAGAGAAUCGCGAUGGGAUGGACGCGCGUCUGAUUAGCCAGUUGGCAGGGUAAGAGCCUACCAGAGCGACGAUCAGUAGCCGAUCUGAGAGGAUGGACAGCCACAUUGGGAGUGAGACACGGCCCAAACUCCUACGGGAGGAAGGAGGGGGGGAUAUUGCAGAAUGGGGGGAAGACUGAUGCAGCGCGGCUGCGUGAGUGAAGAAGUAUUGAGGUAUGUAAAGCUCGAUCAGCAGGGAAGAUAAUGACAGUACCUGAAUAAGAAGCCCCGGCUAACUACGUG